This 3117-nucleotide long non-coding RNA is filed under the name Gallus gallus (chicken). RNAcentral describes it as "lncRNA (ENSGALG00010028342.1)". The record is from RNAcentral. Lineage: Eukaryota; Metazoa; Chordata; Aves; Galliformes; Phasianidae.
CUUUAAAUAUUUGAAUGUAGCCGUAAGUAGGCGGUAAAGCUUUAGACCUGUGUGAAAGGUAGGGGAGGGUGCUGACCUGAGCCCAGCUGCUCUGAGGUAUUUCCAUGCUGGGCCUGAGGAUGAAGCCAGCCCUGGGAAGUUCGCUGUGCUGAGCAGAGAACAGACCCUGCAUUGCAGUUCCUUCACCCUCACUGGCAAACAGAACGAGGAGGUACUACUUCUAAACUGACAUAGCAGGAUAGAUGCAACUUCUUUAUUAGAGCCUGUUUUUCCACUGGAGGAGGAGGAUGUUUCUGCUCUCUGGGGAAGUGUGGAAGCUCAGCGAGGAUAACCCCGUGACUGCAGAUGAAUACCCGUAUUGAUAGAUCUAGCAACUGAUAACUGAAGAAAUAUGCUUCAAAUUUGAAAUAUGCUUUGCAGAUGAAGUUCAGCUGUCCCAAAGUUGCAUGAAUGAGCAUCCUUUCUGCUUGCAGAAAUCUUGUCAAGGUGAGUGUUGGUAUUGCUAGGGUGGAGAUACAAGCCACACAAGGCAAAAAAAAAAAAAAAAAACACACACAAAAAAACAACCCAAAAAGCAACAACAACAACAAAAGGGAUGAAGCUGGAGAAGGAAGGUGAGCUUGUCAAAGCCUGUAGAGAAGAAGUGAGGAUAAUUAAUCAGACAAAUGGAGAGAGAGCAGGUGUGCAGAGGGAAUAGUCUGGUGGGAGCAAAAAGCAGUGGAAUGAAAAUGAAUGUCAGAAGAGCUCAUCUUCCUCCUGACCAAGCUGACUGGGAAAUGCUAACUGUAAUGAUGUGAAAAUGAUACAGCUGAUGGAUCUCUAGUAAUAACAGCCUGAAAUAUUACCCAAGUCUACUCAGAGAGUAAGAGCAAGAAGAAACACAAAGGUACAUGGAUUGGGCCCUCUUGGGUUGGGGUACGUACAGUACCAUGAGGUACAGCCCUCCAACCGGACUCGGUGCCGCUGAUCACAGCCCUCUGAGCUUGGACAGUCGGCCAGUUCUCCAUCUGCCUCACUGACCAUUCAUCAAUCCCACGUCCUAAGCUUCUUUAGAAGGAUGUUGUGAGAGACAGUGUCAUAAGCCUUGCUGAGGUCAAGGUACACAGCAUCCAUUGCUCUUCCCCUUGUCUACCCAGAUGGUGAUGACAUUGCAGAAGGCUGCCAGUUUGGCUGAGCAUGGUUUCCCCUUGGUGAAUACAUGUUGACUACUCCUGAUAACCUUCUUCUCUUCUGUUUGCUUGGAUAUGGCAUCCAAAAUAAGCUGGUCCAUCAUUUUACAUUGACCUUUAUAUGCCAUGGUAUCAGAUAUGCUUCCAUCCAAAGGAUUUCAUCAGUUCCCCAUAAUGUGAAAGUAGAAGAACAUCUUUCCUGUAUUAAAAAUAUUAGGAAUUUAAUCCAUCAGAAUUUACUCCUUGUGAAAGAAACAACUUCUUCCAUUUGCAUCAUCCCUACUUGAGAUUUUUAAGCAUCCUUAAACAGCCAUUCUUUGUAUCAGAUGACAAUCUGAACUCCGCACCCAACCUUGGCAUCUGCGGUCAUGACAUCAACAAGGAAAGUACCUCUCCUACAGACUGAGCUGCUGUUUGCAUGUCUGUAACAGCUAGACAGCAUCUUGAGGAGCUCUAGGUCAAAGGGUGAUGGCCAGAUACAAAGCAGUCUGCGGGUCCUUCACACGUGGGUUAACCAACAUGGCUCGCUCGAGCUUUCUUCAGAGGCGUGGAAUCAGGACUCCGUGCCCUUGCCAGAAGGAAGGGAAGUGGAGCAGAGGUGCAGUCCGAGGGAGAGGACUUGCGAGCCCCGAAGGCAGCAGGGCCGUGCCGGGCCGCGAGUGCCUCCCGCCCGCGACAGCACCAUGGAGAGCGCCCGGGGAGCCGCGCCGCACCGCACAGUACCGGACCGUACAGCAAAAUGGCCGCUGCUCCGCGUCUCGCCGUGCAAGUGGGCUCACGCGGGCUGGGGCCAGCGAGCUGGUAGGAACGUGUUCCUGCCCGCACCUUCCAGCCAGCUCGGAGGGAAAUCGAUCUGCUCUCUUUCCACAAGUCAGCAGUGUGUGUAAAGGGUAUGCAGCAAGCCACUAAGUCUGCAGUUGCUAUUCUCUACGAACCAAGGUUUGGUUGUCCCCAAACAAAGCAACACCAUUAGAGCACUUAAAUAAAUACAUGCACAAAUAAAUCUGGCUCUGCGUUCAUCCGUAGAUACUUGGCUAGGUUAAAGUCAGCCUCUGAGACAGCAACCCUGAUGCACUUCCAAGAGUGAUGAAACUGCUGCUCGGGUGGUUUCACUCAAUUUCUCAUAAUCAAAUAUAUCUUUCAAGGCAAUAAAUAAGUAUAAGAAAUAUCUAACCUCAGAAAUGAAAGUCCAACAAACAAAAAGACCAAAAAGAAAAAAAAAAAAAAGCCACGCUCAGAAGAAGAGUUUGCAAAUAUUUCUGAACUCUCAUUUCAAAAAUGACAGGAGCUAAUUGUUGCUUUGGUCGUGCUGCUUGUAUCCUGAACGUUAAAAGGAAUUAAUAGGAAAAGGUAUCAAUUUGUCACAACAGUGCUAAUUAAUGUUUUACAUUUUUUUUCUCUCUUUUAAUAGAUAAUUUGCUGUAAUGAGUAUAUCAGGGCUAAGUGAGAAUGGGGCUGCAAUAGUGUUUUUCUCAAAUUUCUGAAGUUAUUUAACCUACUCUCAGUAUUAACCUACUGCAGGGACCCUGCUUUAGCUGGGGAGUUGGACUCAAACUCCGACCGCUACCAUUUUGUGGUUCUGUGAUUCAUGAUGCAUGAAGAUUCAAAUGAAAAAUGUCCCUUUUUAUAAAUUGAAGAACAAGGUAUUCUGUUUCUUUAGUAUCAGGAAAAUGUUUAUUCAGCACGAGCUGUGGUGUAUUAUAAAUAAAGGUCCAGCUGACUUAAAAAUUACCACCUGCACUGAAUUUUUCAUAAUUAUACUUGAUGUAUGCUAUUGGUAUUGAAACAUUCGUCAAUCCGUUCUCUACUUCUGUGCUUAAAACAAUAUAAAAUAUUUGUCUGACUUAAUUCAGACACCUUCAAGGCAAGCAACGUAGAAACUUACAAACUGUUUCAUAUUGGCAUAAAAACAUCGAUCUGUCUUUGUUCUUAUGCAAGUCCUGCUCUU